This 85-nucleotide non-coding RNA is filed under the name Enterococcus faecalis TX2137. RNAcentral also lists the same sequence under 1 other name. Lineage: Bacteria; Bacillati; Bacillota; Bacilli; Lactobacillales; Enterococcaceae. The record is from RNAcentral.
GAACGCCGUGUGCGGUGAAAAUCGCAUGCACGGUGUGGAUCGGGGGAAAAACUGGAGAUUAUUUCAAAAGUUUACCUAUCGAUAU